GGCAUUUUUAAUCAGCCUAUAAUAAUCUCAUUCUCUCAUGACAGCUGCAAGUAAUGGUAAAAUCCUCAGAAAUAUUCUGAUGUUUCGCAAAUUUCCCUCCUCUCUCAGAGCCUUCUCUACUCAGAGUUUUGUUAAAGAGAUUCCUACCGGGAAACAGGCAAAAUUAGUGGACACUUUCAACAGAGAACACACCUAUCUCAGAAUAUCAAUCGCUGAAAGAUGCAACCUACGAUGUCAAUACUGUAUGCCUUUGGAAGGGGUGGAUCUUACUCCAAAACCAGAUUUGUUAACUACAAGUGAGAUAAUACAGUUAGCUGAGAUAUUUGCUAACCAGGGGGUCAAUAAGAUACGUCUUACUGGUGGAGAACCUCUUAUUAACAAGGACCUUGUUUAUUUAAUUGAGAAAUUAAAAUCGUUGGAUGGAAUUGAAACAGUGGCGUUAACAACGAACGCUGUGACACUGUCUCGCCACUUACCGAGCUUGGUAUCUGCUGGACUUGACAACGUUAACAUUAGUCUGGAUACUUUAGUCCCUCAGAAAUUUGCUUUCAUUGGUCGCCGUCCAGCGGCAACUCUUCAAAAAGUUUUGAAAGGAGUUAGAGAAGCUAUCGAUUCUCCUCUAAAAUCUGUCAAACUGAACACAGUCGUCAUGAAAGGGGUAAAUGAUGAUGAGAUAUGUGAUUUCGUAUCUCUGACGAAAGAAGACCGGAUAUCAGUUAGAUUUCUGGAGUUCAUGCCCUUUUCUGGAAACGCGUGGAGUAAGCACAAGUUCAUACCAUAUCAGGCUCAAAUCAGCAUCAUCGAGGAAAAAUUCGGCAAGCUGAGUCGCCAGAAUGAUGAACAAACCAGUACCUCUAUGAACUACACUGUGGAGGGACAUUCUGGAAGUAUAGGAUUUAUCUCCUCAAUGAGCAGAAACUUCUGUGGUGGGUGUAACAGACUGCGACUUACUCAUGAUGGUAAUCUCAAAGUAAGAAUGAGCUCCGUCUCGUGAACAAAGCGUGUCACGUGUUAGACACGUGUUAUUCUCGUAUGUGUUUGUUUGGGGAAGAUGAAGUGUCCCUACGUGAUACUCUGCGUGAUCCCUCGCUCUCUCAUGACAACGAAAACGAGCUAGUUAAUGUUAUCAGUGCUGCUGUUAAACGGAAAAAGUUCUCCCAUGGAGAUAAACGUGUGACGCCUCCCACAUUCCGCAUUCCUGACCCCAGAAGACAUGUACUUUAUCAAUCUGCUAGGAGUAUGAGCUCCGAAUCAUCCUCUGAACACUAUAGUAAAUAUAGUUCAUUAGGGUUAUCACAUAUAGACUCCACUGGGGAAGCCCAUAUGGUAGAUGUAGGAUAUAAAACUCCGAGUUUUCGGAUGGCCACCGCAGAAAGCACUAUCUCUCUAAACAGAGAGGCUUACGAGAGCGUUGUUAAAAACACAGCCAGUAAAGGGGCCGUUCUAACUGUAGCUAAAAUAGCCGGGAUUCAAGGUGCUAAACUUACUUCCUCUCUCAUUCCUUUGUGCCACCAGAUAAACUUAAACAAGGUUGAUAUCACUUUCACAUUUUCCGACAGUCAAAAAGAAAGUCCGUCCAUUUCAGGCAUGGUUUUAAAUUCUUUACAGCACUCAAAUCCUUGUCUUGAAUCUGUCACAAAAGACAUCUCCUCAGAGGGGGCUCCUACAGAAACUAACCCGACUAGGUUCCAAUUACACAUCAACUGUACAGUGUCUUGUAAUGCUGUGACUGGAGUGGAAAUGGAGGCCCUGGUCGGGGCCUCUAUUGCUGCCCUCACAGUGUAUGAUAUGUGCAAAGCUUUGGACAAAUCUGCUGUUAUUAGUAAUACUAGAUUACUGCGAAAAGAAGGGGGUAAAAGUGGAUCGUUUUUUGUUGAAUAAUUAAAAAGGUGGAGUUAAUUGUGUUUUAUCUUUUAUAAUAGAUUUCCGGAUCUUUUUGAAUUAAUCCCGAUGUUAUAUAUGUAUUUAAGUAAGGUUCAGUUUUAUUUUUACAGCUGGUGGUAAUUUAUUUGCUUAGAGGUUUUUACUGUGUGUAAUUUCUGCCAAUUUCUAUUGCUGUUGUUCGCUUAAAAGUUUUAAGCAUCAGAUCUUGCGAAGUUUUCGCAAGUUUUAUAAAAUCAAUUGAAAAAGGUUAUCUUUAAACAAGAGAAUAUGUGCAUCAUUUAGAUAAAAUACCAAAUUAAUAGAUUAACAUCCUGUUU
Molecule: RNA transcript, 2201 nt
Organism: Bolinopsis microptera
Lineage: Eukaryota; Metazoa; Ctenophora; Tentaculata; Lobata; Bolinopsidae
Exons: 9
Source: RefSeq, a predicted model, not a curated record